RNAcentral lists this ribosomal RNA (460 nucleotides) under uncultured bacterium. Its description in RNAcentral is "partial 16S ribosomal RNA". It matches the Rfam family "Bacterial small subunit ribosomal RNA", at positions 338 to 795 of the family's 1533-position model. The record is from RNAcentral.
CCUACGGGAGGCAGCAGUGAGGAAUAUUGGUCAAUGGACGAGAGUCUGAACCAGCCAAGUAGCGUGAAGGAUGACUGCCCUAUGGGUUGUAAACUUCUUUUAUAUGGGAGUAAAAUGUUCCACGUGUGGGAUUUUGUAUGUACCAUAUGAAUAAGGAUCGGCUAACUCCGUGCCAGCAGCCGCGGUAAUACGGAGGAUCCGAGCGUUAUCCGGAUUUAUUGGGUUUAAAGGGAGCGUAGGUGGAUUGUUAAGUCAGUUGUGAAAGUUUGCGGCUCAACCGUAAAAUUGCAGUUGAAACUGGCAGUCUUGAGUACAGGAGAGGUGGGCGGAAUUCGUGGUGUAGCGGUGAAAUGCUUAGAUAUCACGAAGAACUCCGAUUGCGAAGGCAGUUCACUGGACUGCAACUGACACUGAGGCUCGAAAGUGUGGGUAUCAAACAGGAUUAGAUACCCUUGUAGUC